UACAGAGGGUGCGAGCGUUAAUCGGAAUUACUGGGCGUAAAGCGCGCGUAGGCGGCUUUGCAAGUCGGGUGUGAAAUCCCCAGGCUUAACCUGGGAACUGCAUUCGAGACUGCAUUGCUAGAGUAUGGGAGAGGGAAGUGGAAUUUCCGGUGUAGCGGUGAAAUGCGUAGAUAUCGGAAGGAACAUCAGUGGCGAAAGCGACUUCCUGGACCAAUACUGACACUGAGGAGCGAAAGCCAGGGGAGCAAACGGG
This 253-nucleotide ribosomal RNA is filed under the name uncultured bacterium. RNAcentral describes it as "partial 16S ribosomal RNA". It matches the Rfam family "Bacterial small subunit ribosomal RNA", at positions 524 to 776 of the family's 1533-position model. The record is from RNAcentral.